GUUACAAACCCUCACUCCCUUACCGCCAUUGCUGCUUCUACGUCGCAGUUGCUCUGCUAAGUAGUUUGUUGAGCUUGAAGCAGAUUUUUCCUUGAGUUGCCAUGAACACGUCUUGUGGAGCAAAUUUGGAACUAUCAAGAUGCAUUGCUGCAUCCCCUGUUUGUCGUUUAAAAUCUUCUAUCUUUGAGUUAAGAUCAUGUAUACCCAAGCUACAAGGCCUCUCAAAGAAGCUAUUGCCUUUAUGCAAAGAUAUAAAUGCUAGAAGUAACAAGGAGAGAAGCAUUCCAUUCUCUGUUACUUGUAGUGGCAGUCAGGUUGACACUCCUGCAGAUGAGCCCAGCAGUCUUACAUAUAAGGAUGCUGGUGUGGACAUCGAUGCAGGAUCAGAGCUUGUGAAGAGAAUAGCCAAAAUGGCACCUGGAAUUGGAGGAUU
Molecule: unclassified non-coding RNA, 433 nt
Filed under: Hevea brasiliensis (rubber tree)
Lineage: Eukaryota; Viridiplantae; Streptophyta; Magnoliopsida; Malpighiales; Euphorbiaceae
Source: RNAcentral